Molecule: long non-coding RNA, 1641 nt
Organism: Canis lupus familiaris (dog)
Lineage: Eukaryota; Metazoa; Chordata; Mammalia; Carnivora; Canidae
Exons: 3
Source: RefSeq, a predicted model, not a curated record
AGUAACAUAUGGCCUCAUCUUGUUUCCUUAACACAUUUAUUGUCAAGGUUGAAGUGGAAGCUUGUUGUUCUUCCCACUUAAGGGACCAUAAGGAAGCUUUGUUGAGACAAAUGUUAGAUAUUCUAUCCCUGAUCUGCUGUCAGUCCCAGUGAACAGCUCCUUUGUUAAUGUCCUCAGAGAAAACCUUGCAUGAUACGUGGGCAUGCUCAUCUCUUGCUCUAGAAAAUGAUAUUUCAGGUUGUUCCAUCUUUAUCUGCCCAAGGGCAACUGCAAGCAAUGAUGAGAAAUUCCCAAGAACAAAUGAUAUGGAAAGAGGCAAUAAGAAAAAAUUUCUUGAGUCUCUUCUGUAGACUGAAGUGCCUGGGGGACAACUCACAAGCCCGAAGGGUUGAGAAGAUGACUGCUUCCAGAAGUGGCAUCCAGUUUGCCUGGCAGACUCCCCAGCAAUAAGACUGAAGUGACCAGGGGCAACUCACAGACUCAAGAGGGAUGAGAAGAUGACUGCUUCCAGCAGGGGCAUCCUGUGGCCUGGCUGAUUUCCCAGCAACAAGAUGGACUGUCUACCUUUCUUUACCUUGCCCUGAGAAUUAAGACUGCAUGGAUGGUUUUCCUUAUUCUUUGGUUGCUAUUUGGAAGCAGUCAAUGAAGCAUCAGCCCGAGACUGGGAAGGGGACACAGAGGGAGCUCAGGGUUCUCUUCCUGACAGAUGAUCUGCAUCAUUCCCCGGAGCCAAUACAUAAAGCCAUCUACCCCAGAGCCAGAGGUAUAUGCUCAGGAACCAACAGGUGCAGGUGGGAGUGGCCAUUCACUUUUAUACCAAUUAAUUCACUAGAAGAAUUAUUUUCUCCCAGGCCCUGGAUCCACAGGCUUGGAAAUCUGAUGCCCAAAAAGGAAUGAUUUUGUCAGGUGACACCAUCAUGGUUCUUUGAACUCUAACUUCCAUUGGCCAACAUUCAAUGGUAAUCAGAGCAAAGAUGCCCAUUAGUGGAAUCCAUAGUGGUUAGUCUCCUGAGGCACAGAGCAGGGUGGAUAAAUGUGUAAUGUCAAUCCUGGGAGGGGUGAAGAACAGAAGCUUUUGCAGAAUCCAACAUUUGUGCUGUCAGCAUCCACUCUUGUCCUUUGGGAGGAAAAUCCACCCCAUCCCCCAAAAUAGGGGACACACAGAGCUCUAUUUGAAAAUCUGUUUUUUUCUCAGUCUCCAGAUGAAGAUCACAUGAGGCUGAUUUUUAGCAACCUUCCAUGAACUGUACAAAUCACAUUUUCAGGCAAUAGAAGUGCCAAACAACCUUGCUAAAGGAAAUUCAGUUUGUGUGGAGCAAUGUGUUAAAUUCUGCACAAGAUGAUCUCAUUCCUGCAUCUGCAUGUGGACAAAAGAAAUGCAAAGAAAGCAAGGAAGUCACAGUACAGUAUUAAUAAGAAGACUAUUUGUGCCACUUGCUGUAGUACUUGGUAUCUGUUCUAUACAGGGGGAAAGACACACUCUGACCCAGAAGCUUCUCUGAGCUCAUCAAGCAUGAACUUUGUAUCUAACUUGGCAGAUGGAGUCACUUGGAAUCCGGAGAGAAAACUAGAUUUUGUUUCGUAAAAGAAGCCAAAGUUAUUUGAGAAGAGGAGAGAGGACAGCCCGGGUGGCUCAGAGGU